Long non-coding RNA from Carya illinoinensis, 511 nucleotides. RefSeq lists it as uncharacterized. The record is from RefSeq and is a predicted model, not a curated record. The transcript is spliced from 3 exons. Lineage: Eukaryota; Viridiplantae; Streptophyta; Magnoliopsida; Fagales; Juglandaceae.
UCACCAGAUUUUAUUGAUGAUGGCAUGGUUCCAUCUGGUUCUGGAGAUGCUUAUGGUGAUUGGGAAGACUCAGAUGAGGAGGACCCAUCCACCGAGGAAGAGUCUGACUCAGAAUAAUCAACUGCCAACAUAUUGAUAUUAGGUCGGGCGAAGGAGUGACAACUGGGGAUAGUGUUCUUAAAAAAACAAACGCAAUCCCAUCUCAACAUUAGGCGUUAACGAGGAGCAUGAACGGCCGAGGCGAGGUAGUGGGAGCUAGUGGCCGCGGUCGGCCCAGAGGCCGAGCAUUCCGUGGUAGAAGAUUGGUGCCUUAUUCAUGCCGAGCCCGGCGGCCUCGGGGUGCUCGGAUUAGUUCAUACCAUUCACCAGGAGACGUGGAUGAGGCCAGCUCAGAUGACUCUACCCAACCCCCAAGCCAUCCAUGGGAGCCACCGUGUGCGGCCACAACACUGGUGGCCGAGCCUGACAGUGUCACCUCACCUAUUAUAAGGCCGGAGCCUGAUAGAGUUCA